CCUACGGGUGGCAGCAGUGGGGGAUAUUGCACAAUGGGCGAAACCCUGAUGCAGCGACGCCGCGUGUGGGAAGACGGUCCUCUGGAUUGUAAACCACUGUUCCCAGGGACGAAGAUGACGGUACCUGGGGAGGAAGCUCCGGCUAACGACGUGCCAGCAGCCGCGGUAAUACGUAGGGAGCGAGCGUUGUCCGGAAUUACUGGGUGUAAAGGGAGCGUAGGCGGGACUGCAAGUUGGGUGUCAAAUCUACCGGCUCAACCGGUAGCCGCACUCAAAACUGCAGUUCUUGAGUGAAGGAGAGGCAGGCGGAAUGCGUGGUGUAGCGGUGAAAUGCGUAGAUAUUAGGCGGAACACCAGUGGCGAAGGCGGCCUGCUGGGCUUUUACUGACGCUGAGGCUCGAAAGUGUGGGGAGCGAACAGGAUUAGAUACCCUUGUAGUC
RNAcentral lists this ribosomal RNA (440 nucleotides) under uncultured bacterium. RNAcentral's name for it is "partial 16S ribosomal RNA". It matches the Rfam family "Bacterial small subunit ribosomal RNA", at positions 338 to 795 of the family's 1533-position model. The record is from RNAcentral.